GACGAACGCUGGCGGUGUGCUUCACACAUGCAAGUCGAACGAGGUAGCAAUACCUAGUGGCGGACGGGUGAGUAACGCGUGGGAAUCUGCCCAAGGGUGGGGGAUAACUAGCCGAAAGGUUAGCUAAUACCGCAUAUGCCGUGAGGUAAAAGGAGUAAUCCGCCCCUGGAUGAGCCUGCGUCCGAUUAGCUAGUUGGUAAGGUAAAGGCUUACCAAGGCUACGAUCGGUAGCUGGUCUGAGAGGAUGAUCAGCCACAAUGGGACUGAGACACGGCCCAUACUCCUACGGGAGGCAGCAGUGGGGAAUUUUACGCAAUGGGGGGAAACCCUGACGUAGCGACACCGCGUGAGCGAAGAAGCCCUUUGGGGUGUAAAGCUCUGUCAGCAGGAACGAAAAAAAUAGACGGUACC
RNAcentral lists this ribosomal RNA (411 nucleotides) under uncultured bacterium. RNAcentral describes it as "bacterial SSU rRNA". It matches the Rfam family "Bacterial small subunit ribosomal RNA", at positions 28 to 479 of the family's 1533-position model. The record is from RNAcentral.